UACGGAGGAUGCGAGCGUUAUCCGGAUUUAUUGGGUUUAAAGGGUGCGUAGGCGGACUGUCAAGUCAGCGGUAAAAUUGAGAGGCUCAACCUCUUCCCGCCGUUGAAACUGGUGGUCUUGAGUGGAUGAGAAGUACGCGGAAUGCGUGGUGUAGCGGUGAAAUGCUUAGAUAUCACGAAGAACUCCGAUUGCGAAGGCAGCCUGCUGGACUGUAACUGACGCUGAUGCUCGAAAGUGUGGGUAUCAAACAGG
This 252-nucleotide ribosomal RNA is filed under the name uncultured bacterium. Its description in RNAcentral is "partial 16S ribosomal RNA". It matches the Rfam family "Bacterial small subunit ribosomal RNA", at positions 524 to 776 of the family's 1533-position model. The record is from RNAcentral.